Molecule: ribosomal RNA, 434 nt
Filed under: Amphistegina lobifera
Lineage: Eukaryota; Foraminifera; Rotaliida; Amphisteginidae
Description: SSU rRNA
Rfam family: Eukaryotic small subunit ribosomal RNA
Source: RNAcentral
GUGGAGCAUGUGGCUUAAUUUGACUCAACGCGGGGAAUCUUACUAGGUCCGGACCGAUUCUAUGAUCGUCGUACUGUGGGGUGCUACGUGAUUACUGGAUGAGUGGUGCAUGGCCGUUCUUAGUUCGUGGUGUUAAUUGUCUACUUAAUUGUUAUCGGUUCUCGUAUCAUGCGAGACCUAAUAACGAACGAGAUCGAGACCCGUGGUUGCGUGUGUUUGAAUUCGGUAUUACUACGGGGAUCGCGUAUUACUCCACGGUACGAUCGAAAGACUCGGCAAUAACAGGUCUGUGAUGCCCUCAGAUGUUCUAGGCUGCACACGUGCUACAGUGUGGUUCUGUUCAUAUGUGUAUGCGUAGACUUGAGAUCCCCCGCACCGAGUCAUAACUGGUCACACGGUUGGACUCACCGAUGGCCAAUUAUUCGGUAUCUUAA